Molecule: long non-coding RNA, 1010 nt
Filed under: Betta splendens (Siamese fighting fish)
Lineage: Eukaryota; Metazoa; Chordata; Actinopteri; Anabantiformes; Osphronemidae
Description: lncRNA (ENSBSLG00000023021.1)
Source: RNAcentral
CUCAGGUGAAAGCAGGCUGAUUGGCUGAUUGGCUGCAGGUGUUGACUCACUGCAGUGCGUGUUUCUGUGGGUUUAUUCAGACGUGUGUAACAGAGCCAGCAGGCAACGUUAGUUAUUAACACAGCCGCCGCUUAGAAACCACUCACAGGGUUAAAUAUUAAGCAGGAAUGGGUCCUCUUCAAGUGGUUUCUCACCGACUUCAGUCCAUUAAGCAGCUGACAAACGAGAAUCAGAAGUCUGGUUUAUUUUAGCAGAAAAAAAUCAUGUUUGGACAAAACAUUACAGCGAGCAAUGGUUCAACUAAUCAUCUGAAUAACUGAGAGGGAGAAACCGAGUGUGCCUAACGUAUUAACCAGCUGAGUUCAAGAUGUUAAAAAGCCAAUGGCUGCUGCAUACAUUACUGUUGAGUGAGUCGGUACUGAGGGUUUUACAAACCAGGAUCAGUCGCUGUUCUAACCUAAAAAUGGACACAACACAACGCCGCAGCAGAGGUCAAAGGGUUCUGGUCCAAAGCCGGGAAAAGGACAAGCAGGGUGGAAGGUGUCACCCUCCGGUGCUUUAUGGCGCCGCCGGCCUUAACGACGUCUAACAAAAUGUCAGCAGCCGACCAAUGAUGCGCCGGCAGCCAAGACAGAGAGAUUUAGUCAAGUGGGAAGUCUUUAAGAGUCAUUUUAGAGAGCAAGAUAAAAGAAUGGGGGAGGGGAGACGAAGCCUCCAGCUCCAGGCCUCCUCCGCCCACUGCUCCGUUCCUCAACCCAGGUGCAUUUGGACUGUCCACGCUGAACCAGCGGCUCGUUCUUUACUUCCUGUGGAGUCAUUCAAUUUAUUAGUCAAAGUCAGUCGCUCCUGAUGUUUAUUUUCUGCUCCAGGUCCAUUUUUAGUCAGUUGUAUAGAACUGUUAGCUUCUGCUUAGUGCAGCGUCUGGUUUCUUCCACUGCUUCCUCUGAAGUUUGAGUUUUAGCCAGCUCCACUGUAAUAAAUCUAGUGUAUGUUCAAAGAGUGACUCGUGU